UAGGGAAUCUUCCACAAUGGACGAAAGUCUGAUGGAGCAACGCCGCGUGAGUGUAAGAAGGGUUUCGGCUCGUAAAACUCUGUUGUUAAAGAAGAACAUAUCUGAGAGUAACUGUUCAGGUAUUGACGGUAUUUAACCAGAAAGCCACGGCUAACUACGUGCCAG
RNAcentral lists this ribosomal RNA (165 nucleotides) under uncultured bacterium. RNAcentral describes it as "partial 16S ribosomal RNA". It matches the Rfam family "Bacterial small subunit ribosomal RNA", at positions 355 to 511 of the family's 1533-position model. The record is from RNAcentral.